CUGGAGGCCCACAGCCCAGUCCGGGAAGGGGGCCGGUUUUCUUCCCUCAAGGAACCAGCUGGGGGAUUGUUGCCUUACAUAUUUAGAUGGCGUCUUGAUCUCCAAGUGAUUUACGUACACGUACAGUUAAUUAUGUAAAGUGGUUACCGAGGCCCCGCCGGACAGACAUCACCCCUGGAGCCACACAACCUGCUUUAAGCUUCACCCUUAAAUGCAUCCCUGCUAUUCGACUCAACUAUUCCAGGUGGUGGUGAGUUAAAAAGAGGAAGCAGAAAGCAAACGCUCAGCAGGCCAGGCAACACCUGCCUUAAUAUUUCAGGCUAUUUCCAGGCACACAGAUGGAGACAAACAUCAACUGCUGCUGGAGGGUCCUCAACUCAGUGAAAGACACUCUUUGGUCUGCCCAAGACUUGUUGAACUCCUACUGCAAAGAGUUGUCCACAACCAAGUGUUGCAAACCAGCACAUUCCACGAUCCAGGACUAUGUACUGAAGGAUGCACAAAAGCUUAGAGCAGCCACUGCAAAGGCGCAAUGGGGACAUGCCACUAUCCAAGGCCUUUCAGCCAUAGUAAAUCGAGGGGCCGGAAACUGUGUAGAACCCCUCGGGCCAUACGCUUGACAUUGCAUGUAUAUAGUAAGUAUCACGUGGAUUGCAAUUGCUCUGAGACACCUUGGAGUGCGUAUAUUUCAGGUUAUCCAUUUAUGCUGUGAA
Long non-coding RNA from Carcharodon carcharias (great white shark), 713 nucleotides. RefSeq lists it as uncharacterized. The record is from RefSeq and is a predicted model, not a curated record. Lineage: Eukaryota; Metazoa; Chordata; Chondrichthyes; Lamniformes; Lamnidae. The transcript has 3 exons.